GAUUGAACGCUGGCGGUAUGCUUAACACAUGCAAGUCGAACGGAAACGAUACUAGCUUGCUAGUAGGCGUCGAGUGGCGGACGGGUGAGUAACGCGUAGGAAUCUGCCUGAUAGUGGGGGAUAGCCCGAAGAAAUUCGGAUUAAUACCGCAUAAUCUAUUCGUAGUAAAGUGGGGGACUUUCGAGCCUCACGCUAUCAGAUGAGCCUGCGUAAGAUUAGCUAGUUGGUAGGGUAAAAGCCUACCAAGGCAACGAUCUUUAGCUGGUCUGAGAGGAUGAUCAGCCACAUCGGGACUGAGACACGGCCCGAACUCCUACGGGAGGCAGCAGUGGGGAAUAUUGGACAAUGGGGGCAACCCUGAUCCAGCAAUACCGCGUGUGUGAAGAAGGCCUGAGGGUUGUAAAGCACUUUCAAUUGUGAAGAAAAGUUAACGGUUAAUAACCGUUAGCCUUGACGUUAACUUUAGAAGAAGCACCGGCUAACUCCGUGCCAGCAGCCGCGGUAAUACGGAGGGUGCAAGCGUUAAUCGGAAUUACUGGGCGUAAAGCGUGCGUAGGCGGUUUAUUAAGUCAGAUGUGAAAGCCCCGGGCUUAACCUGGGAAUUGCAUUUGAAACUGGUCAACUAGAGUAUGGUAGAGGAAAGUGGAAUUUCUGGUGUAGCGGUGAAAUGCGUAGAUAUCAGAAGGAACAUCAAUGGCGAAGGCAGCUUUCUGGACCAAUACUGACGCUGAGGUACGAAAGCGUGGGUAGCAAACAGGAUUAGAUACCCUGGUAGUCCACGCCGUAAACGAUGAUAACUAGCCGUUGGGGGGGAUUUACCCUUUAGUGGGCGAAGCUAACGCGUUAAGUUAUCCGCCUGGGGAGUACGGCCGCAAGGUUAAAACUCAAAGGAAUUGACGGGGACCCGCACAAGCGGUGGAGCAUGUGGUUUAAUUCGAUGCAACGCGAAGAACCUUACCUGGUCUUGACAUCCUGCGAACUUUCUAGAAAUAGAUUGGUGCCUUCGGGAACGCAGUGACAGGUGCUGCAUGGCUGUCGUCAGCUCGUGUCGUGAGAUGUUGGGUUAAGUCCCGUAACGAGCGCAACCCCUAUCCUUAUUUGCCAGCACGUCAUGGUGGGAACUAUAAGGAGACUGCCGGUGAUAAACCGGAGGAAGGCGGGGACGACGUCAAGUCAUCAUGGCCCUUACGACCAGGGCUACACACGUGCUACAAUGGGAAGGACAAAGAGCCGCGAAGCCGCGAGGUGUAGCUAAUCUCAGAAACCUUUUCGUAGUCCGGAUUGGAGUCUGCAACUCGACUCCAUGAAGUCGGAAUCGCUAGUAAUCGUAGAUCAGAAUGCUACGGUGAAUACGUUCCCGGGUCUUGUACACACCGC
This 1377-nucleotide ribosomal RNA is filed under the name uncultured bacterium. Its description in RNAcentral is "bacterial SSU rRNA". It matches the Rfam family "Bacterial small subunit ribosomal RNA", at positions 27 to 1393 of the family's 1533-position model. The record is from RNAcentral.